UGGGGAAUUUUGGACAAUGGGCGCAAGCCUGAUCCGGCCAUGCCGCGUGUGGGAAGAAGGCCUUCGGGUUGUAAACCACUUUUGUCAGGGAAGAAACGGUCCGAUCUAAUAAAUUGGACUAAUGAUGGUACCUGAAGAAUAAGCACCGGCUAACUACGUGCCAGCAGCCGCGGUAAUACGUAGGGUGCAAGCGUUAAUCGGAAUUACUGGGCGUAAAGCGUGCGCAGGCGGCUUUGCAAGACAGAUGUGAAAUCCCCGGGCUCAACCUGGGAACUGCAUUUGUGACUGCAUGGCUAGAGUACGGUAGAGGGGGAUGGAAUUCCGCGUGUAGCAGUGAAAUGCGUAGAUAUGCGGAGGAACACCGAUGGCGAAGGCAAUCCCCCUGGGUUAACACUGACGCCCAUGCACGAAAGCGUGGGGAGCAAACAGGAUUAGAUACCCCCGUAGUCCCUGAGCGGGCUGGCAAGGCGCAU
This 473-nucleotide ribosomal RNA is filed under the name uncultured bacterium. RNAcentral describes it as "bacterial SSU rRNA". It matches the Rfam family "Bacterial small subunit ribosomal RNA", at positions 355 to 825 of the family's 1533-position model. The record is from RNAcentral.